Molecule: unclassified non-coding RNA, 332 nt
Filed under: soil metagenome
Description: partial contains 5.8S ribosomal RNA, internal transcribed spacer 2, and large subunit ribosomal RNA
Rfam family: 5.8S ribosomal RNA (bases 1-120)
Source: RNAcentral
GAUGAAGAACGUAGCAAAAUGCGAUAAGUAAUGUGAAUUGCAGAAUUCAGUGAAUCAUCGAAUAUUUGAACGCACAUUGCGCCCGCCAGUAUUCUGGCGGGCAUGCCUGUUCGAGCGUCAUUUCAACCCUCAAGCACAGCUUGGUGUUGGGACUCGCGUUAAUUCGCGUUCCCCAAAUUGAUUGGCGGUCACGUCGAGCUUCCAUAGCGUAGUAGUAAAACCCUCGUUACUGGUAAUCGUCGCGGCCACGCCGUUAAACCCCAACUUCUGAAUGUUGACCUCGGAUCAGGUAGGAAUACCCGCUGAACUUAAGCAUAUCAAUAAGCGGAGGA